AAAUUUAUAUUUGCUUGUUUUAACCAGCUAUACAAGAUGGAUCAUGAUAUUUUCAAUACAUGGUGCAACAUCCUUAAGCGAGUACCAAAUAGUGCACUUUGGCUUCUCAGAUUUCAUGCUGCUGGCGAGUCGAGACUCUGCAAUUAUGCUGUUCAAAGAGGUGUACAACCAGAUCAGAUUAUUUUCACAAAUGUUGCCAUGAAGGGUGAACAUAUCAAGCGUAGUGCUUUAGCAGAUUUAUUCUUGGACACGUAAGCAUGCUUAAUACUUUUUUUCUAUUUUUUUAUUAUUCAAGUGUAUUUAUCUUAGUACAUUACAAUAUAUAACUUUAUUUUGACAUUUGAUGUUGCUAUUGCUGAUUGAUUUUUCUAUUGUUGUUUUGUUUCUUUAUUUUUUUUUGGUGGUGUGUGCUCUGUAGCAUUGCAUUUAGUUAGCUUAAUAUUUAGCUCAUAUUUUCUUGAGUCGUUGCACCAGAAUUCCCUUAAUCAAGAGCCAUAUUUUGUUAGAAGUGAAUCAUGUCUUAUUAACAGAAUGAUUUUUCAACUGGUUACAGGUCUUUCCCAGAGCUUGGACAGCAAUUUUGAUUUCUCUAGAAAAUAGUGGCAUGUGGAACCUUCGAACAAACAAUCUAAACUCAUGGUAUCUAGGCCAGGAAACGUACAUUAGUGUCGUAAACUCUGAGUUUGUGAGAGGAAUUGCAGAAGCAGCAGAAAGUAAGUUCAAUUCAAUUUCGUUUUCUGGUUUUAUAUAUGAGUUG
Humulus lupulus (European hop) is the source of this 757-nucleotide long non-coding RNA. RefSeq lists it as uncharacterized. NCBI's taxonomy places the organism in Eukaryota, Viridiplantae, Streptophyta, Magnoliopsida, Rosales, Cannabaceae. The record is from RefSeq and is a predicted model, not a curated record. The transcript is spliced from 3 exons.